Molecule: long non-coding RNA, 1201 nt
Organism: Xenia sp. Carnegie-2017
Lineage: Eukaryota; Metazoa; Cnidaria; Anthozoa; Malacalcyonacea; Xeniidae
Exons: 5
Source: RefSeq, a predicted model, not a curated record
GGAAUCAGGAAAAGUAACAGGUCUUCUGUUUAAACUUGUGGGAGAAGGAAACAGCUUCGGUACAUUACCAGACCUGAAUAAAAAAGUUGUUGAAAGAACGGUUUCAUUUGGAGACACGUGUCAGGAUGUCAUGACGUGUUUUGGUUCACCUUGUAAAGUAUUUUAUAAAGCUGAAGAUAAGAUGCGUAUCCAUUCUCCCUAUACAUACAAACUUAAUUAAUCAAAUAGAUCCUUCUAUUUCUUCAACUAAUUUUACACUUGGCGUGGGCGAACUCGAUGUUAAAUUCGAGACUAGUGGACAAAAUUUCUCUUGGUAUUGUGGAAGCUCGAGAAGAGAAGUGGUUUUGGACAAACCGGCAAAUAAAGCACGAGUGUAUUAUCGAAAAAAUGAAGACGUAGAAAUAUUCAUUGAAGAUUGUCCCCAGGUUAAGUCUAAAAAAUUCAGUGUUACAGCUGGUAAAAGUGUUUGUUACGACGAAAGUUUUUCCUAUGCGUGUCCUGGGAUAGAAGGAAAAAGUCAUCCUUGCAGUUAUGAACUAACAAUUAACAAAAAAAAACAACUAAAGUAUCUCAGGUAUCUGUCGGAUUGACCCUGAAAAUCGUAGCAAAAUUCAAAAUAUCUUUUUCUGCAUCAAGGACACAAAAAAUCGUACACACUUAUGAGUACCAAGAGAAAUGGUACUUUGUCGUACCUGCUGGAUAUACGUUUUGCUCAUAUAGAAAAGCCACAAUUAGUUUUGGAAAUCAGUCAUACUACUGUUCCGGAACAGACUUCAAAUUUGUUAAGUUUGGUACUAUUUGCUCGGGGAAUAGAUUAUGUAAUAAAAAAGAAAGGUCAUGUUUCCAUGACGAACACAACAUCAGUAACAGGCCAAAUUUUCAUUUCGCUUUCUGUUUUAUCAUACUCUGUGUUUUUCUUUUCAUCUAAUGUAAAACGUUCAUUGCCAACACCCACUCAUUUAUUAACAGCUAAUGUGUAGUUUCUAGUAUCAUAAAUAUAAAUGGACAAUAUAAUGUUUCUGUGAAGAAAUGAAAGCUUAGUUUCAUGUAUAAACACGAGAUGUAUUUUGUAAACUUACUUUAAGUACGUCGCAAAAUCCUUAAGGCAUUUUGCGUAAAAACUAGCACAGUAACUAUGAAUAUGUAGUUGAUUAGCAUUUAUGUAUGUGUGUGACAAUAAUAAAGUCAUUAGUAAACUCAA